GACGAACACUGGCGGCGUGCUUAACACAUGCAAGUCGAACGAGACGAUUGAAAGCUUGCUUUUAAAAGUCGAGUGGCAAACGGGUGAGUAACGCGUAGACAACCUGCCUUUGAGAUGGGGACAACAGUUCGAAAGGACUGCUAAUACCGAAUGUUGUAUAUUUUCCACAUGGAAGAUAUAUUAAAGAUGGCCUCUAUUUAUAAGCUAUCGCUCAAAGAUGGGUCUGCGUCUGAUUAGCUAGUUGGUGGGGUAACGGCCUACCAAGGCGACGAUCAGUAGCCGGUCUGAGAGGAUGAACGGCCACAUUGGGACUGAGACACGGCCCAGACUCCUACGGGAGGCAGCAGUGGGGAAUCUUCCACAAUGGACGAAAGUCUGAUGGAGCAACGCCGCGUGAGUGAAGAAGGGUUUCGGCUCGUAAAGCUCUGUUGUCGGGGACGAAUGUGCAGUAUUUGAAUAAAGUACUGCAAUGACGGUACCUGACGAGGAAGCCACGGCUAACUACGCGCCAGCCGCCGCCGUAA
Molecule: ribosomal RNA, 524 nt
Filed under: uncultured bacterium
Lineage: Bacteria
Description: partial 16S ribosomal RNA
Rfam family: Bacterial small subunit ribosomal RNA
Source: RNAcentral